RNAcentral lists this long non-coding RNA (1715 nucleotides) under Felis catus (domestic cat). RNAcentral's name for it is "lncRNA (ENSFCAG00000048130.1)". Lineage: Eukaryota; Metazoa; Chordata; Mammalia; Carnivora; Felidae. The record is from RNAcentral.
GUCCGCUGCCGUCGCCUCCCGAGGGUCCUGCCGGGCGUCCAGAGGGUCAUUGGUCGGAGCGCCCCACGGAGGGGAGCUGCCGGCCAUCAAGAAAGGGGGUUUUUUUUUUUUUUUUUUUUUUUUUUUUUUUUUUUUUUUUUUUUUUUUUUUUUUUUUUUUUUUUUUUUUUUUUUUUUUUUUUUUUUUUUUUUUUUUUUUUUUUUUUUUUUUUUUUUUUUUUUUUUUUUUUUUUUUUUUUUUUUUUUUUUUUUUUUUUUUUUUUUUUUUUUUUUUUUUUUUUUUUUUUUUUUUUUUUUUUUUUUUUUUUUUUUUUUUUUUUUUUUUUUUUUUUUUUUUUUUUUUUUUUUUUUUUUUUUUUUUUUUUUUUUUUUUUUUUUUUUUUUUUUUUUUUUUUUUUUUUUUUUUUUUUUUUUUUUUUUUUUUUUUUUUUUUUUUUUUUUUUUUUUUUUUUUUUUUUUUUUUUUUUUUUUUUUUUUUUUUUUUUUUUUUUUUUUUUUUUUUUUUUUUUUUUUUUUUUUUUUUUUUUUUUUUUUUUUUUUUUUUUUUUUUUUUUUUUUUUUUUUUUUUUUUUUUUUUUUUUUUUUUUUUUUUUUUUUUUUUUUUUUUUUUUUUUUUUUUUUUUUUUUUUUUUUUUUUUUUUUUUUUUUUUUUUUUUUUUUUUUUUUUUUUUUUUUUUUUUUUUUUUUUUUUUUUUUUUUUUUUUUUUUUUUUUUUUUUUUUUUUUUUUUUUUUUUUUUUUUUUUUUUUUUUUUUUUUUUUUUUUUUUUUUUUUUUUUUUUUUUUUUUUUUUUUUUUUUUUUUUUUUUUUUUUUUUUUUUUUUUUUUUUUUUUUUUUUUUUUUUUUUUUUUUUUUUUUUUUUUUUUUUUUUUUUUUUUUUUUUUUUUUUUUUUUUUUUUUUUUUUUUUUUUUUUUUUUUUUUUUUUUUUUUUUUUUUUUUUUUUUUUUUUUUUUUUUUUUUUUUUUUUUUUUUUUUUUUUUUUUUUUUUUUUUUUUUUUUUUUUUUUUUUUUUUUUUUUUUUUUUUUUUUUUUUUUUUUUUUUUUUUUUUUUUUUUUUUUUUUUUUUUUUUUUUUUUUUUUUUUUUUUUUUUUUUUUUUUUUUUUUUUUUUUUUUUUUUUUUUUUUUUUUUUUUUUUUUUUUUUUUUUUUUUUUUUUUUUUUUUUUUUUUUUUUUUUUUUUUUUUUUUUUUUUUUUUUUUUUUUUUUUUUUUUUUUUUUUUUUUUUUUUUUUUUUUUUUUUUUUUUUUUUUUUUUUUUUUUUUUUUUUUUUUUUUUUUUUUUUUUUUUUUUUUUUUUUUUUUUUUUUUUUUUUUUUUUUUUUUUUUUUUUUUUUUUUUUUUUUUUUUUUUUUUUUUUUUUUUUUUUUUUUUUUUUUUUUUUUUUUUUUUUUUUUUUUUUUUUUUUUUUUUUUUUUUUUUUUUUUUUUUUUUUUUUUUUUUUUUUUUUUUUUUUUUUUUUUUUUUUUUUUUUUUUUUUUUUUUUUUUUUUUUUUUUUUUUUUUUUUUUUUUUUUUUUUUUUUUUUUUUUUUUUUUUUUUUUUUUUUUUUUUUUUUUUUUUUUUUUUUUUUUUUUUUUUUUUUUUUUUUUUUUUUUUUUUUUUUUUUUUUUUUCUUUUUAUUUUUUAGUUAUGGUAUUAUAAUUUAUGACGGCGUAGCGCCGUGUUUUUGUUUAUUUUUAAAACGUGUCCUGGCAGAGGCGAGAUCGGUGCUCGUCCUC